AUGAGCUCGCGUCUGAUUAGCUAGUAGGUGUGGUAAAGGCGCACCUAGGCGACGAUCAGUAGCUGGUCUGAGAGGAUGAUCAGCCACACUGGGACUGAGACACGGCCCAGACUCCUACGGGAGGCAGCAGUGGGGAAUUUUCCGCAAUGGGCGAAAGCCUGACGGAGCAAUACCGCGUGAGGGAGGAAGGCUCUUGGGUUGUAAACCUCUUUUCUCAGGGAAGAAAAAAAUGACGGUACCUGAGGAAUAAGCAUCGGCUAACUCCGUGCCAGCAGCCGCGGUAAUACGGAGGAUGCAAGCGUUAUCCGGAAUGAUUGGGCGUAAAGGGUCCGCAGGUGGCUAUGUAAGUCUGCUGUUAAAGAAUGAGGCUUAACCUCAUCAGAGCAGUGGAAACUACACAGCUAGAGUGCGUUCGGGGUAGAGGGAAUUCCUGGUGUAGCGGUGAAAUGCGUAGAUAUCAGGAAGAACACCAGUGGCGAAAGCGCUCUACUAGGCCGCAACUGACACUGAGGGACGAAAG
RNAcentral lists this ribosomal RNA (520 nucleotides) under uncultured cyanobacterium. RNAcentral's name for it is "bacterial SSU rRNA". It matches the Rfam family "Bacterial small subunit ribosomal RNA", at positions 225 to 759 of the family's 1533-position model. Lineage: Bacteria; Bacillati; Cyanobacteriota. The record is from RNAcentral.